RNAcentral lists this long non-coding RNA (889 nucleotides) under Homo sapiens (human). Its description in RNAcentral is "HSALNT0390306". Lineage: Eukaryota; Metazoa; Chordata; Mammalia; Primates; Hominidae. The record is from RNAcentral.
CCCCGAGCGGAGCGGGCCCAGGACCCUAUCGGCUGUCGAGCCGGUGCUGCCGCGGCCACCGCCACCGCCCAGGGGCUCCGGGGCUGUGGGGAGCGGCUGAACUCAAUACCGCCUCCGCGCUGACUGGAAGGCACUGCGGCCGCGCCUGCCUGCCCCACCUCGUAAGGGCCUGUGACCUCACGAGGCCAGCCGCCGGGCGCUGCAUUCGAGCGAACUUCAGAUUGAAAAGCAUGUACUUGAGUAGCUGUAUUUAAGGAAUUACACCCAAGAAGUCUCAUCUUCCCUGGACUUACGUAGAGGAUAAGAUUCUGAACUUUGAAUUGAUGCUAUAAUGGGAUAAGACUUUGGGGCCUUAGAAGGGAGACCAGGACCUGCCAGCCAAGACAAUAUUUUGGGUUCUUUCCCAAAAUACUUAGUCAUCUAAAAUCAUAACCCUAUUGAAAGCUGCCUUCCUGUUCAACCCCAGUCAACAACUAAAACAGAGGCAUGUCACCCCUCUGGGGGUCAGGCUGAGUAUACUCUGCAGAGCUCUGCUUCCCACAAAUGUCAGGAGAACAAAGGCCAUGAAGGUGUUAAAGGGAAGCAAGCGAUCGACAGCAUUGGUUGGUGACAAACCUGUGGCUGGUCUGUGUAUGAUGGGAUGGAUUCCUCCUGCUCCCAGAAGGCACUGUACUUUCAGUGUUCAGGGCAGCCUUGCCUUAGUGCCUCAAACCUAUCCCUACAUCCUGCAGUAAACUUGGAAAGGUAACACCUCUAACCAUCAGGCCUUCCUCUGAAGCACAGUCAAGUUGCUCUUGGCAACCAUCUCAAUUUUAAUAGUGCAGAUGCCAUGUGCUGUAAAGUCCUAAAAUUUAAAUUCUUUAUUUCUUGACAUCAUUGCCUCAAAAAA